UUACAAUGACAAUUUGUGCACAGGCAAAGCCGCAUCCUACCACUCGUGUUUUUGAGAAAAAUAACAUAAGCAUCACCUGAUAAGAUUAAUUAACAAAAAAAACGUUUGGGAAAACGAUAUUACUAAGCGUCAAACGGAGGAUUUCCACUAGCAUGAAGGGGGGACACGAUUAAUAGGUUAUAAAUCUAUUUUAUGUUUUACAAUAUGUCAGGGC
RNAcentral lists this long non-coding RNA (214 nucleotides) under Elaeis guineensis (African oil palm). RNAcentral describes it as "long non-coding RNA (EGUI_LNC000325)". Lineage: Eukaryota; Viridiplantae; Streptophyta; Magnoliopsida; Arecales; Arecaceae. The record is from RNAcentral.